GGAGUUGUGGCUCAGUGGUAGAGUGCUUGCUUCGCAAGUGUACUGGCUUUGAUCCUCAGCUCCA
This 64-nucleotide transfer RNA is filed under the name Ictidomys tridecemlineatus (thirteen-lined ground squirrel). RNAcentral describes it as "Spermophilus tridecemlineatus (thirteen-lined ground squirrel) tRNA". It matches the Rfam family "tRNA". Rfam says of the family: Transfer RNA (tRNA) molecules are approximately 80 nucleotides in length. Their secondary structure includes four short double-helical elements and three loops (D, anti-codon, and T loops). The record is from Rfam by way of RNAcentral. Lineage: Eukaryota; Metazoa; Chordata; Mammalia; Rodentia; Sciuridae.